Molecule: long non-coding RNA, 2477 nt
Organism: Loxodonta africana (African savanna elephant)
Lineage: Eukaryota; Metazoa; Chordata; Mammalia; Proboscidea; Elephantidae
Exons: 2
Source: RefSeq, a predicted model, not a curated record
UCUCGCGAGACACAGCAGCGGUAGGGGGGUGACGGAAGGAGGCUCGCGUGCUAGAGCUGGGCACCGCCCGAAGCGCAGGGCUGGCUGGGAGAUGUAGUCGGCCCAGAGGCUCCGCUCUUGUCCCACGGCAGAGUGUCUUUACUCUCUGCCACACGAGCUACCUCUGGAGCUGCAUUGCGGCUGCCGUGUCGGGCCAGUUCUUUGUUUUAUAGAUCACCCAGCGAGCUGAAGCGAUUUGUCAGGUACUUUCAGCAAGUUAGCAGUAGAGCCUGGACCUCCUGAAUUCCUGGGUAGCCCACAUUUAAUAGAGGUGCGUCGCUUUAAGCGAGGGUGGUGUAUCGCUAGGUUCCCAAGCACCUAUGCCAACGGUUCGCAAACUUUCUAGGUUAAGCACCCCAUUGAAAAUCUCACCCAGAAUAGAAAAUAGUAACUGCUACAUUAUACUGUGGUUAAACGUUUGGCUGCUAACGAAAAGGUCAGCAGUUCGAAUCCACGAGCUGCUUCUUGGAAACCCUAUGGGGCAGUUCUGCUCUGUCUUAUAGGUUUGCUAUGAGUCGGAAUAGACUCGACGGCAAGGGGGUUACAUUAUACUGAGUGCUACUUUAUGCAUUGAUAAUCUCUUAAUUCUAACGAUGCCCCAUUUCUGAGAUUGAGGCUCAGAGGCUAACUAAGGUGACAGAGUCCAAAACCAAGACUAAUACCCAAGCAACCUAAACCACACUACCUCUCCCAAGGAAGGGCAUACGCUCUCCCAAAAUUUUGCCACCUAAAGUCCAUCCAAGGAGCCCAGGUUAGGAAGCCCAGAUAAAGCUUUCAUUCAGUUCCUCCCCUUCUUCCAUCCAGUUUAGCUCUUCCCUGCCCUACUGAGUUGAUCAUGCUGUGUCUUGUGUGAUUAAUUUGAAGUUCUAUUUUUCUUACAGCAAAGACCAGGGAUUGAAAACUCGAAAGCUUAAAAGGGCCAGAAAGGCUGGCUGUUGGAAUCCCUGGAUGGUGCAAAUGAUUACUGUGCUUAAAUGCUAUGCUAACUAGAAGGUUGGAAGUUUGAAUCUGCUCAGAGGCACCUUAGAAGAAAGCCCUGGCAAUCUACUUCUGAAAAAUUAGCCAUUGAAAGCCUGUGGAGGGACAUCCCAGGUAACUGGUCGGAUACCGUUUUUAGUCCUUCCAUUUUACCUCCAAGUUCGUUGCAUAGUGCCUGGGUCUUAAAAGUUUGCAAGCAGCCAUCCAAGGCGCAACAAUUGAUCUCUAUUCACCUGGAGCAGCAGAGGAAGGAGAGUCAGGACUAGGAGGAGGAAAGGGAAUACAUACCUAAUUGCCUCUAUGAACAAAUGUCUCCUUUGCCAUGAGACCAGAAGAACUGGAUGGUGCCCGGCUACCAUUACUGAAUAUUUUGAUUAAAGAUAUUAUAAAAGAAUCCUGAUCCAGAGAGGGUAAAAUGUGGAAUGGAAUUUAAAAGACUCAUGGACUCCAGACUUUCUGAAGCUGUGGAGGUAAUCAUUAACUCUAAACCACAAAUAUCCCCUGAAGUCUUCUUUAAACCAAACAAUAAAUUAGCUUAAUUAGUAAAUAAUGUUUGCCCUUCAGUAAUGCCUGAGGUCUUAAAAGCUUGCAAGCAGCUAUCCAAGGUAAAACAGUUGGUCUCUAUUUGCCUGAAGCAACAGAGGAAGAGGAGAGUCAGGAAUACGUGGAGGAAAUGAAUGCGUGACUAAUUGCCUCCAUGAACAACUGCCUCUUCUGCCAUGAGACCGGAAGAACUAGAUGGUGUAUAGCUACUAUCACCAAACAUUUUGGUCAAAGAUUUUGUAGCAGACUCUUGAUCAAAAGGGGAGAAAUGCAGAGCAGAACUUAAAAUUCUCAUGGAAUCCAGCCUUUCUGGAGCCAUGGAGGCUGGAUGAACCACCAAAACUAUUGCCCUUUAAACCCUAAACCAAAAAUAUCCAAACAGUAGUUUAGCUGAGCUACUAAGGUCUCCCUUGAGCAUUAUGUUCUUUUAAGAACUAUCUAUAUGGGAUCAAGUCGACUACAACAACUUGAAAGAUUAGAUAGAAACCCUAGGGGACGGUGAGUUUAUGUUAAUGAGGGAGGAACAACUCAGAAAAAGAGAGUGAGAAUGAUUGCACAGCUGAAAGAAUGUAAGCAAUGUCCAUAAGUUGUACAUAUAGAAAGUUGUUAAAUUGGGGUGUGUUUUGCUGUGUAUAGUUUUAACAAUAGUAAAAAAUGAAAGAAAAGCCUAUGAAGCACAGUUCUACUCUGAUACGCAUGGGGUUGCCAUGAAUCAGAGUUGACAACUUUUUUUUUAAUUAUGUAUUUUUUUUUAAUGAAGGAAUGUGGAGGAAUUGGAACGCUUGUACAUUGCUGGAGGGAAUGUUAAAUGGUGUAGCCACUGUGGAAAACAGUUCGGUGGUUCUUCAAAAAGUUAAACAUAGAAUUACGAUAAACCAAGAAAAAAAAAAAAAAAAGAUCCAGCAAACCCACUCUGA